This 470-nucleotide long non-coding RNA is filed under the name Salvia miltiorrhiza (redroot sage). RNAcentral's name for it is "long non-coding RNA (SMIL_LNC013814)". The record is from RNAcentral. Lineage: Eukaryota; Viridiplantae; Streptophyta; Magnoliopsida; Lamiales; Lamiaceae.
GUUCUGUCGUUGAGUUUUCUUAGUCUUGCUUUGGUGGUUUUUCCUGUGAUGUUACCUUGAUGAUGAUGUGAGUAGUGUAGAGAUUGGUUGGAUAACUGGUUCAUGAUGAUUUCUGUUUAAAACUUGUGAAAUUGCAUGCGUUUGUGUUGAUAUUGUUGAGAUUGAGCAUGAGUGAUGAACGAUAAGCGUGGUCUCUAUGUGUUUGCAAUCAAUGAAAUAAUCUGUGAGAUUUGAGCCUUGACUGUCACCAUUUUUACAGUCUUAUUUGUUAUUCUUGAGUGAUUGUUUGAGCAUGCUUGUGUCUCACUAGAACUUGUCUUGGUUUCUCCCUCGAGGUCACAUAGUGUGCUUAAUAACUUUGAGAUGAUGGUCAUCUUUACUAGCCUAUAUUUCUCAUUUUUGUCCUUUUACUAUAUAUGAUCCUAGUUCACCCCCUUUGAGCCUUAUUUUUCCAUAUUAUUUGAUUUAGC